RNAcentral lists this long non-coding RNA (711 nucleotides) under Monodelphis domestica (gray short-tailed opossum). RNAcentral's name for it is "lncRNA (ENSMODG00000044422.1)". Lineage: Eukaryota; Metazoa; Chordata; Mammalia; Didelphimorphia; Didelphidae. The record is from RNAcentral.
CAGAGUUCUAAGCUGUUGGGAAGGAGUUUCCAGGGAGAGUCUGGACCUGAAGGUGAAACUUGGAGGGUGUAUGUGCCUAGACUCUGCCUAGACAGGAUCAUCUUGAAAGCUGACUGCCUCUGAAAGAAACAUCAAGACUGAGAGAAGAUUUCCCAUACAUUUCUGGUGGACAGAGUGUUUAUGAAGGAGUCUUCUCUCUCUCCUCUGGGACACCUGAGGAUCCAAUAGCUGGAUGCCUCUUACUUAAUAUGCCAAGGACUCUACUUGUGAUAUUCUGGUCCCUGUUGAAUUUAUUCUUUAGUUUAGAAAUAACCAACAUAGCUUCAUUGCUCACUGCACUGUCACCACGACAUCCCCCUCCUAACCCUGAUCCUUCUUUCCAUGAAGAUUCACAUUCCAAAGUAGAGAAAAAAAGGAAAAAAAAGAAUGGAAAUAUCCAAGGGAAUGGAAUUCCAAAUUGAAGCAAACCAAAUCCAUCAAUACUUCAAGGGUCUGAGAUUGCAUAUAGGAAGAGGGACCCUCUCCUCCCACUCCCUACAAUUCUUCAGCUACAUCAGCCCAAGGCCAAGCUAAUGAGGAUGCCCUCCAAUUUAGGUUAACCCUAGGACCCGGGAUUUACAUUACGAUCCAGUACCUAAAGUUUUCCAACCUGGGAGGAUGCCAUAUUGGCAAGCUCAGGGUCACUGUGGUAGAUGUGUAAGAGAAAAAAUA